AAAGGAAGUGGCUUUACCAUAGUAAAUUACUAUGGUAAAGCCACUUCCAUU
RNAcentral lists this small RNA (51 nucleotides) under Parachlamydia acanthamoebae. The record is from RNAcentral. Lineage: Bacteria; Pseudomonadati; Chlamydiota; Chlamydiia; Parachlamydiales; Parachlamydiaceae.